UAGGUCGUCCGUCCAUCUUGUGGGAGAC
Molecule: small RNA, 28 nt
Filed under: Bombyx mori (domestic silkworm)
Lineage: Eukaryota; Metazoa; Arthropoda; Insecta; Lepidoptera; Bombycidae
Description: ovarian small RNA-22770
Source: RNAcentral